Molecule: microRNA precursor, 73 nt
Filed under: Myotis lucifugus (little brown bat)
Lineage: Eukaryota; Metazoa; Chordata; Mammalia; Chiroptera; Vespertilionidae
Description: mir-9193 microRNA precursor family
Rfam family: mir-9193 microRNA precursor family
Source: Rfam by way of RNAcentral
CUUGGGGGGAGGGGUCCCUCAGCCCAGAUUGCGAGAGGUUGCAGGCCAGGCUGAGGAACCCCAUUGGUGCACG